UCGGCUUAGAGUUUGAUCAUGGCUCAGGACGAACGCUGGCGGCAUGCCUAAUACAUGCAAGUCGAGCGGGGUGAAAGCUUGCUUUCAUUAGCGGCGGACGGGUGAGUAACACGUAGGCAACCUGCCUUAUCGUCUGGGAUAACUUCCGGAAACGGAUGCUAAUACCGGAUACAUCAUCCUGGCAUCGGAGAUGAGGAAAGACGGCAAUGUCGCUAUAAGAUGGGCCUGCGGCGCAUUAGCUAGUUGGUGGGGUAAUGGCUCACCAAGGCGACGAUGCGUAGCCGACCUGAGAGGGUGAACGGCCACACUGGGACUGAGACACGGCCCAGACUCCUACGGGAGGCAGCAGUAGGGAAUCUUCCACAAUGGGCGAAAGCCUGAUGGAGCAAUGCCGCGUGAGUGAUGAAGGUUUUCGGAUCGUAAAGCUCUGUUGCCAGGGAAGAACGUCCAGGUGGUAACACCUGGAGUGACGGUACCUGAGAAGAAAGCCCCGGCUAACUACGUGCCAGCAGCCGCGGUAAUACGUAGGGGGCAAGCGUUGUCCGGAAUUAUUGGGCGUAAAGCGCGUGCAGGCGGCUUCUUAAGUCGGGUGUUUAAGACCGGGGCUCAACCCCGGCUCGCACCCGAAACUGGGAAGCUUGAGUGUAGGAGAGGAAAGUGGAAUUCCACGUGUAGCGGUGAAAUGCGUAGAGAUGUGGAGGAACACCA
This 708-nucleotide ribosomal RNA is filed under the name uncultured Paenibacillaceae bacterium. RNAcentral describes it as "bacterial SSU rRNA". It matches the Rfam family "Bacterial small subunit ribosomal RNA", at positions 1 to 711 of the family's 1533-position model. The record is from RNAcentral. Lineage: Bacteria; Bacillati; Bacillota; Bacilli; Caryophanales; Paenibacillaceae.